This 58-nucleotide transfer RNA is filed under the name Rhinebothrium fulbrighti. RNAcentral's name for it is "tRNA-Arg". The record is from RNAcentral. Lineage: Eukaryota; Metazoa; Platyhelminthes; Cestoda; Rhinebothriidea; Rhinebothriidae.
GACAUAAUUUAAAGUCUAUGUUACGGCCAUAGAAUGGAUACUUGCGUAUCUUAUGUUU